GAUGAACGCUAGCUACAGGCUUAACACAUGCAAGUCGCGGGGCAGCAUGGGGGUUGCUUGCAAUCCCCGAUGGCGACCGGCGCACGGGUGAGUAACGCGUAUCCAACCUGCCCUUCACCACGGGAUAACCCGGCGAAAGUCGGACUAAUACCGUAUGUUGUCCAUUGACGGCAUCCGAUUUGGACGAAAGGUUUGUCGGUGUAGGAUGGGGAUGCGUCCGCUUAGCGGGACGGCGGGGUGACGGCCCACCGUGGCGACGAUCGGGAGGGGUGCUGAGAGGAAGGUCCCCCACACUGGAGCUGAGACCCGGUCUAGACUCCUACGGGGGGCAGCAGUAAGGAAUAUUAGUCGAUGGACGUAAGCCUGAACCAGCCGAGUAGCGUGCAGGAUGACGGCCCUAUGGGAUGUAAACUGCUUUUAUGCGGGGAUAAAGUGGCCCACGUGUGGGUUUUUGCAGGUACCGAAUGAAUAAGGACCGGCUAAUUCCGUG
Molecule: ribosomal RNA, 490 nt
Filed under: uncultured bacterium
Lineage: Bacteria
Description: partial 16S ribosomal RNA
Rfam family: Bacterial small subunit ribosomal RNA
Source: RNAcentral